RNAcentral lists this ribosomal RNA (124 nucleotides) under Blastocystis sp. ATCC 50177/Nand II. The record is from RNAcentral. Lineage: Eukaryota; Bigyra; Opalinata; Blastocystidae.
AUUUUAAAAUUAUUAUAAAUAUAGUGUAAAACUCGUACUUUUAAAAGAAAAACGAAUGUUAAAAUUAUAAUAACAAUUAAAGAUAUCAAUUUAAUUUGAGAAACAUAAUUGAAUAAUUUUAAAA